RNAcentral lists this small nuclear RNA (219 nucleotides) under Carassius auratus (goldfish). RNAcentral's name for it is "U2 spliceosomal RNA (ENSCARG00000032943.1)". It matches the Rfam family "U2 spliceosomal RNA". From Rfam's summary of the family: U2 is a small nuclear RNA (snRNA) component of the spliceosome (involved in pre-mRNA splicing). Complementary binding between U2 snRNA (in an area lying towards the 5' end but 3' to hairpin I) and the branchpoint sequence (BPS) of the intron results the bulging out of an unpaired adenosine, on the BPS, which initiates a nucleophilic attack at the intronic 5' splice site, thus starting the first of two transesterification reactions that mediate splicing. The record is from Rfam by way of RNAcentral. Lineage: Eukaryota; Metazoa; Chordata; Actinopteri; Cypriniformes; Cyprinidae.
AUAUGUUUUUGUGGGGUGAAGUGGAAAAAUAUUGUAAAUAAAAAAAAAAAAAAAAAAAAAAAAAAAUCUGUUCUUAUCAGUUUAAUAUCUGAUACGUCCCCCAUCCGGGGACUACAUAUUAAAUGGAUUUUUAGAUCACGGAGCUGGAGCCGGGGCUUGCUCCGUCCACUCCAUGCAUCGGCCUGGUAUUGCAGUGUCUCCAGGAACGGUGUGCUUUCC